AACGGAAAGGCCCUGCUUGCAGGGUACUCGAGUGGCGAACGGGUGAGUAACACGUGGGUGAUCUGCCCUGCACUUCGGGAUAAGCUUGGGAAACUGGGUCUAAUACCGGAUAGGAGCCAUCUUUAGUGUGGUGGUUGGAAAGUUUUUUCGGUGUAGGAUGAGCUCGCGGCCUAUCAGCUUGUUGGUGGGGUAAUGGCCUACCAAGGCGGCGACGGGUAGCCGGCCUGAGAGGGUGUACGGCCACAUUGGGACUGAGAUACGGCCCAGACUCCUACGGGAGGCAGCAGUGGGGAAUAUUGCACAAUGGGCGCAAGCCUGAUGCAGCGACGCCGCGUGGGGGAUGAAGGCCUUCGGGUUGUAAACUCCUUUCGCUAGGGACGAAGCUUUUUGUGACGGUACCUAGAUAAGAAGCACCGGCUAACUACGUGCCAGCAGCCGCGGUAAUACGUAGGGUGCGAGCGUUGUCCGGAAUUACUGGGCGUAAAGGGCUCGUAGGUGGUUUGUCGCGUCGUCUGUGAAAUUCUGGGGCUUAACUCCGGGCGUGCAGGCGAUACGGGCAUAACUUGAGUGCUGUAGGGGUAACUGGAAUUCCUGGUGUAGCGGUGAAAUGCGCAGAUAUCAGGAGGAACACCGAUGGCGAAGGCAGGU
Molecule: ribosomal RNA, 648 nt
Filed under: uncultured Actinomycetales bacterium
Lineage: Bacteria; Bacillati; Actinomycetota; Actinomycetes; Actinomycetales
Description: bacterial SSU rRNA
Rfam family: Bacterial small subunit ribosomal RNA
Source: RNAcentral